This 72-nucleotide transfer RNA is filed under the name Camelus ferus (Wild Bactrian camel). It matches the Rfam family "tRNA". Rfam says of the family: Transfer RNA (tRNA) molecules are approximately 80 nucleotides in length. Their secondary structure includes four short double-helical elements and three loops (D, anti-codon, and T loops). Further hydrogen bonds mediate the characteristic L-shaped molecular structure. tRNAs have two regions of fundamental functional importance: the anti-codon, which is responsible for specific mRNA codon recognition, and the 3' end, to which the tRNAs corresponding amino acid is attached (by aminoacyl-tRNA synthetases). tRNAs cope with the degeneracy of the genetic code in two manners: having more than one tRNA (with a specific anti-codon) for a particular amino acid; and 'wobble' base-pairing, i.e. permitting non-standard base-pairing at the 3rd anti-codon position. The record is from Rfam by way of RNAcentral. Lineage: Eukaryota; Metazoa; Chordata; Mammalia; Artiodactyla; Camelidae.
GAGGGUAUAGCUCAGUGGUAGAACGCAUAUUUAGCAUGCAUGAGGUCCUGGGUUCAAUCCCCAGUACCUCCA